AUACAAUUAAAUCCUCUUUCUCUUUCGUGUCGUUGCUCCUCCACGUUGUUGCUCCUCUGCUUGGCUUCAAUCAGAAACGAUAAUGGAGUCAUGGACUGAUGUGAAUGUAGAGUGAAACAGAAAUCAAAGAGGAAGAAGAUGAAGGCGUUAAUGCGGACUGAAGAGAAGAAGAACCGUGUUGGGACCCUCACGAUCGGACCUUCAAUCAAGGUUUGGGAGCCUUACAACGUCUUCGAUUCACCUAUGUUUCUCUUCGCCUCUGGAUCAAGCUAGAUCUAUGGCUGUUUCUCAUUAGUUUUGUGUAUUUUAGUAUAUAUAUUAUUAUAUGACGGGGAAACACAAGAAUCAAGCAUAGUCCAUUGGUUUAUGUGCUCCUGUAACAGCUUAACAUUCCGAGUUCGAAUCCAUGAUGGAGCAACAUUUUUUUCCUUGUGUCUUUAGUUAAUGUAAAAUGACGUAAACGUCCUCA
Brassica napus (rape) is the source of this 469-nucleotide long non-coding RNA. RefSeq lists it as uncharacterized. Lineage: Eukaryota; Viridiplantae; Streptophyta; Magnoliopsida; Brassicales; Brassicaceae. The record is from RefSeq and is a predicted model, not a curated record. The transcript has 2 exons.